This 69-nucleotide transfer RNA is filed under the name Polypterus palmas buettikoferi. Its description in RNAcentral is "tRNA-Asp". It matches the Rfam family "tRNA". Rfam says of the family: Transfer RNA (tRNA) molecules are approximately 80 nucleotides in length. The record is from RNAcentral. Lineage: Eukaryota; Metazoa; Chordata; Cladistia; Polypteriformes; Polypteridae.
AAGAUAUUAGUUAAAUCAUAACACUGCCUUGUCAAGACAAAAUUAUGGGUUAAACCCCCAUAUAUCUUA